UAAGUUCUCAUUAUUCUCUAUGUCUCCCACCUCGAUCAAAUAUCAAGCAAUAUGCUUGACGAUCAACUCAUUUGUAUCACCAGCAAUGAGCUUAGGGACUUCUCAUCCCCUUGGCAAUUCAGUUUGUAACACAUAUUCUGAUAAAGGAAAUGUAUAAGUUGGCCUUUGUAGGCCUAUGUUUACACCAUUUUGAGCCAUUAUCCGUUCGACAAUGGUUACAAGGUUG
Molecule: long non-coding RNA, 226 nt
Filed under: Lathyrus oleraceus (garden pea)
Lineage: Eukaryota; Viridiplantae; Streptophyta; Magnoliopsida; Fabales; Fabaceae
Description: Pisum sativum (pea) long non-coding RNA (PSAT_LNC030180)
Source: RNAcentral